GUCUACAGCCAUACCACCCUGAACGUGCCGGGUCGUGUCUGAUUUCAGAAGCUAAGCAGGGUCAGGCCUGGUUAGUACUUGGAUGGGAGACCGUCUGUGUAUAAUGGGUGCCAUAGGCU
Molecule: ribosomal RNA, 119 nt
Filed under: Callithrix jacchus (white-tufted-ear marmoset)
Lineage: Eukaryota; Metazoa; Chordata; Mammalia; Primates; Cebidae
Source: RNAcentral